GAUGUGAUAGUCUAAGAUUAGAUCUUAUACAUAUUAUUAGAAUUAAAUUAUUUAAUCUAUUAUUUAUGUGGUAUGAAAUUUUAAAAUUGCAUGUAUUGCACUAUCGUAUAUUUCCUUUAACUGGUACAGAGCAGGUUAUUUUGAUAUGAAUUAAUAUGACUUUAGAUCUACUUUUUUAUUAUUAGAUCUGAUUAUUUAUGAUUUAGAUUAGAUUCAAAUUAGUUUAUUUUUAGAUCUGAUUAUUAUUUAUUUA
This 253-nucleotide long non-coding RNA is filed under the name Elaeis guineensis (African oil palm). RNAcentral's name for it is "long non-coding RNA (EGUI_LNC062687)". The record is from RNAcentral. Lineage: Eukaryota; Viridiplantae; Streptophyta; Magnoliopsida; Arecales; Arecaceae.